GAUGAACGCUGGCGGCGUGCCUAAUACAUGCAAGUCGAGCGAACAGACGAGGAGCUUGCUCCUCUGACGUUAGCGGCGGACGGGUGAGUAACACGUGGAUAACCUACCUAUAAGACUGGGAUAACUUCGGGAAACCGGAGCUAAUACCGGAUAAUAUAUUGAACCGCAUGGUUCAAUAGUGAAAGACGGUUUUGCUGUCACUUAUAGAUGGAUCCGCGCCGCAUUAGCUAGUUGGUAAGGUAACGGCUUACCAAGGCAACGAUGCGUAGCCGACCUGAGAGGGUGUUCGGCCACACUGGAACUUAGACACGGACCAGACUCCUACGGGAGGCAGCAGUAGGGAAUCUUCCGCAAUGGGCGAAAGCCUGACGGAGCAACGCCGCGUGAGUGAUGAAGGUCUUCGGAUCGUAAAACUCUGUUAUUAGGGAAGAACAAAUGUGUAAGUAACUAUGCACGUCUUGACGGUACCUAAUCAGAAAGCCACGGCUAACUACGUG
This 497-nucleotide ribosomal RNA is filed under the name uncultured bacterium. Its description in RNAcentral is "partial 16S ribosomal RNA". It matches the Rfam family "Bacterial small subunit ribosomal RNA", at positions 28 to 507 of the family's 1533-position model. The record is from RNAcentral.